UAGGGAAUCUUCCACAAUGGGCGAAAGCCUGAUGGAGCAACGCCGCGUGUGUGAUGAAGGGUUUCGGCUCGUAAAACACUGUUGUAAGAGAAGAAUGAUAUUGAGAGUAACUGUUCAAUGUGUGACGGUAUCUUACCAGAAAGGAACGGCUAAAUACGUGCCAG
RNAcentral lists this ribosomal RNA (164 nucleotides) under uncultured bacterium. RNAcentral's name for it is "partial 16S ribosomal RNA". It matches the Rfam family "Bacterial small subunit ribosomal RNA", at positions 355 to 511 of the family's 1533-position model. The record is from RNAcentral.